CCAAUAGCGUAUAUUAAAGCUGUUGCGGUUAAAAAGCUCGUAGUUGGAUUUCUGUCAAGGACAACUGGUCCGCCCUCCGGGUGAGCACAUAGUUUGGUCUUGACAUCUUGCUGGAAGCUGUUGCUGCACUUGGCUGUGUGGCGCAGUGUUCAGCACUUUCACUUUGAGGAAAUUGGAGUGUUUCAAGCAGGCACAUGCCUUUGGACACAGUAGCAUGGAAUAAUUAGAUUGGGCUUUUGCUCCAAUUUGUCGGUUUCUGGAGCUGAGGUGAGUAUUAAUGGGGAUUGUUGGGGGCAUCCGAAUUUAGCCGUCAGAGGUGAAAUUCUUGGAUCUGCUAAAGACGGACAACUGCGAAAGCGUUUGCCCAGGAUGUUUUCAUUGA
Molecule: ribosomal RNA, 382 nt
Filed under: uncultured eukaryote
Lineage: Eukaryota
Description: partial 18S ribosomal RNA
Rfam family: Eukaryotic small subunit ribosomal RNA
Source: RNAcentral